UACGUAGGGUGCGAGCGUUAAUCGGAAUUACUGGGCGUAAAGCGUGCGCAGGCGGUUUUGUAAGCCAGGUGUGAAAUCCCCGGGCUCAACCUGGGAACUGCAUUUGUGACUGUAGAGCUGGAGUACGGUAGAGGGGGAUGGAAUUCCGCGUGUAGCAGUGAAAUGCGUAGAUAUGCGGAGGAACACCGAUGGCGAAGGCAAUCCCCUGGACCUGUACUGACGCUCAUGCACGAAAGCGUGGGGAGCAAACAGG
This 253-nucleotide ribosomal RNA is filed under the name uncultured bacterium. RNAcentral's name for it is "partial 16S ribosomal RNA". It matches the Rfam family "Bacterial small subunit ribosomal RNA", at positions 524 to 776 of the family's 1533-position model. The record is from RNAcentral.